UUUCCGUAGGUGAACCUGCGGAAGGAUCAUUAUUGGAUUUUGAAACUUCAGGCUGCUGCUGGCUCUCCUCGGAGGGCAUGUGCACGCUUGUUGUCCACUAUUUCUCCCACUGUGCACAAAUUGUAGACCUUUCAGUAGGCCUAUGUUGUUUUUCACAAUCUCUGAAUGUAAUAGAAUGGUUUUGAAUCUUGGGAAAUACAAUACAACUUUCAGCAACGGAUCUCUUGGCUCUC
This 233-nucleotide unclassified non-coding RNA is filed under the name plant metagenome. RNAcentral describes it as "partial contains small subunit ribosomal RNA, internal transcribed spacer 1, and 5.8S ribosomal RNA". The record is from RNAcentral.